AAUACAUCGGAACGUGCCCAACCUGGGGGAUAACGCAGCGAAAGCUGUGCUAAUACCGCAUACGAUCUACGGAUGAAAGCAGGGGAUCGCAAGACCUUGCGCGAAUGGAGCGGCCGAUGGCAGAUUAGGUAGUUGGUGAGGUAAAGGCUCACCAAGCCUUCGAUCUGUAGCUGGUCUGAGAGGACGACCAGCCACACUGGGACUGAGACACGGCCCAGACUCCUACGGGAGGCAGCAGCG
Molecule: ribosomal RNA, 240 nt
Filed under: uncultured Variovorax sp.
Lineage: Bacteria; Pseudomonadati; Pseudomonadota; Betaproteobacteria; Burkholderiales; Comamonadaceae
Description: partial 16S ribosomal RNA
Rfam family: Bacterial small subunit ribosomal RNA
Source: RNAcentral